Molecule: ribosomal RNA, 174 nt
Filed under: uncultured bacterium
Lineage: Bacteria
Description: partial 16S ribosomal RNA
Rfam family: Bacterial small subunit ribosomal RNA
Source: RNAcentral
CGGAAUUGCUAGUAAUCGCGGAUCAGCAUGCCGCGGUGAAUACGUUCCCGGGCCUUGUACACACCGCCCGUCACACCAUGAGAGUUGGCAACACCCGAAGUCAGUAGCCUAACCGCAAGGGGGGCGCUGCCGAAGGUGGGGUUGAUGAUUGGGGUGAAGUCGUAACAAGGUACC